UAUUCCGUAGAAUUAUUUUAAUCAUAGUAUGUCUCACGACAGUUUAAAUUCUAAAGUUUGAGUUUGUUAAAAAAUUAAAAUAAAUAAAUAAAUGGUCAGUGUGACAUAAACCGGUCAUGUUCAUCCAUCACUUCGCCACAUUAGCUACGCACGAAGCAGUUGGACACACGACACACCUGAUUAUCGGGGUGGCGAGGCAGAAUGACUUGUGACCAUCAUGGGGGAAAUCAGAGGAAGUGGAUCGUUACGAUGUCACGAUCCUGAGAACACACGUACGUUGGUUUUCAAAGACGACGAACUCGGUAAAAAAAGAGAAUAGCUCUAGUCGACCGAAUACCUAAUUCAAUCAAGGUUUUCAGGUGCUCAUUGCUUUUCAUUCAUCCACAAAGGAAUAUUUAAAGGAAUGUGUCGUGUUAUUUUUUCCUGCAUUUGUGCAAUAAAGUUUAAAUAAAUAAAUGUGUAAC
Molecule: long non-coding RNA, 464 nt
Organism: Cydia pomonella (codling moth)
Lineage: Eukaryota; Metazoa; Arthropoda; Insecta; Lepidoptera; Tortricidae
Exons: 3
Source: RefSeq, a predicted model, not a curated record